This 254-nucleotide ribosomal RNA is filed under the name uncultured bacterium. RNAcentral describes it as "partial 16S ribosomal RNA". It matches the Rfam family "Bacterial small subunit ribosomal RNA", at positions 524 to 776 of the family's 1533-position model. The record is from RNAcentral. RNAcentral also lists the same sequence under 1 other name.
UACGUAGGGACCAAGCGUUGUUCGGAUUUACUGGGCGUAAAGGGCGCGUAGGCGGCGCGACAAGUCACUUGUGAAAUCUCCGGGCUUAACCCGGAACGGCCAAGUGAAACUGUCGUGCUAGAGUGCGGAAGGGGCAAUCGGAAUUCUCGGUGUAGCGGUGAAAUGCGUAGAUAUCGAGAGGAACACCUGAGGUGAAGACGGGUUGCUGGGCCGACACUGACGCUGAGUGCGCGAAAGCCAGGGGAGCAAACGGG